GCCCGGUUAGCUCAGUCGGUAGAGCAUCAGACUUUUAAUCUGAGGGUCGCGGGUUCGAGUCCCUCAUCGGGCG
This 73-nucleotide transfer RNA is filed under the name Hydra vulgaris (swiftwater hydra). Its description in RNAcentral is "transfer RNA lysine (anticodon UUU)". It matches the Rfam family "tRNA". From Rfam's summary of the family: Transfer RNA (tRNA) molecules are approximately 80 nucleotides in length. Their secondary structure includes four short double-helical elements and three loops (D, anti-codon, and T loops). Lineage: Eukaryota; Metazoa; Cnidaria; Hydrozoa; Anthoathecata; Hydridae. RNAcentral also lists the same sequence under 7 other names. The record is from Rfam by way of RNAcentral.